CAGUAGCCACGGUAAUACGGAGGGUGCAAGCGUUACUCGGAAUCACUGGGCGUAAAGGACGCGUAGGCGGAUUAUCAAGUCUCUUGUGAAAUCUAACGGCUUAACCGUUAAACUGCUUGGGAAACUGAUAACCUAGAGUAAGGGAGAGGCAGAUGGAAUUCUUGGUGUAGGGGUAAAAUCCGUAGAUAUCAAGAAGAAUACCUAUUGCGAAGGCGAUCUGCUGGAACUUAACUGACGCUAAUGCGUGAAAGCGUGGGUAGCGAGCAGGAUUAGAUACCCCGGUAGUCCCUGUCUCUUAUAC
Molecule: ribosomal RNA, 301 nt
Filed under: uncultured bacterium
Lineage: Bacteria
Description: partial 16S ribosomal RNA
Rfam family: Bacterial small subunit ribosomal RNA
Source: RNAcentral